GGGGGCGACUGGUUUCGACACGAUAGCUUUGAGGGAGUAAGCAGGCCGUGGUCUCCUCACCACGUUAAACAGGGGUACCGUCAACUUUAAUUGACAACAAGCAGUACGCACUCGCUGCUUAAUUAGCAGCGACGUCGACCCGGGGAGACGUCCCCAUCGCCGGUAAGACGCCACAAACGGGACUGCCCCUGCGCACGUAAUCGGUAUGGCGCAGGCUAAGACUGAACCGAUUGGAUGUUGGUAACCGCGUUGUCAGGGAAGCCGGCAUCGAGACUAUCUGAUGACUGAGCUUGGAGAAAGCUCCCAGGGGGCUGUCGUGGACCGGAGUUCGAUUCUCCGCGCCUCCACCA
This 350-nucleotide transfer-messenger RNA is filed under the name Coriobacteriales. Its description in RNAcentral is "RUG033 sp900314665 Standard tmRNA". It matches the Rfam family "transfer-messenger RNA". From Rfam's summary of the family: Bacterial tmRNA, also known as 10Sa RNA or SsrA, is named for its dual tRNA and mRNA-like properties. Its role is to liberate the mRNA from a stalled ribosome. To accomplish this part of the tmRNA is used as a reading frame that ends in a translation stop signal. The record is from RNAcentral. RNAcentral also lists the same sequence under 1 other name. Lineage: Bacteria; Bacillati; Actinomycetota; Coriobacteriia.